UUGCAGUUAAAAAGCUCGUAGUUGGAUUUCGGAGUGGGCCAGUUGGUCCGCCGCAAGGUGUGUUACUGACUGGUUUGCUCUUCUUCGCAAAGACUGCGUGUGCUCUUCAGUGAGUGUGCGUAGGAUUUACGACGUUUACUUUGAAAAAAUUAGAGUGUUCAAAGCAGGCUAUUGCUUGAAUACAUGAGCAUGGAAUAAUGGAAUAGGACUUUGGUCCCAUUUUGUUGGUUUCUAGGGCCGAAGUAAUGAUUAAGAGGGACAAUUGGGGGCAUCCGUAUUUCGUUGUCAGAGGUGAAAUUCUUGGAUUUACGAAAGACGAACAACUGCGAAAGCACUUGCCAAGAGUGUUUUCAUUAAUCAAGAACGAAAGUUAGAGGAUCGAAGACGAUCAGAUACCGUCCUAGUUCUAACCAUAAACGAUGUCGACUAGGGAUCAGCGGGCGUUAUCGUACGACCCCGUUGGCACCUUACGGGAAACCAAAGUUUCUGGAUUCCGGGGGAAGUAUGGUUGCAAAGCUGAAACUUAAAGGAAUUGACGGAAGGGCACCACCAGGAGUGGAGCCUGUGGCUCAAUUUGACUCA
This 582-nucleotide ribosomal RNA is filed under the name uncultured eukaryote. Its description in RNAcentral is "SSU rRNA". It matches the Rfam family "Eukaryotic small subunit ribosomal RNA", at positions 613 to 1202 of the family's 1831-position model. The record is from RNAcentral.